UACGAAGGGUGCGAGCGUUGUUCGGAAUUACUGGGCGUAAAGGGUUUGUAGGCUGAAAUGUAAGUCAAGUGUGAAAUCCCCGAGCUAAACUUGGGACGUGCAUUUGAAACUGUGUUUCUUGAGUAUCGUAGAGGGUGGUGGAAUUGUAGGUGUAGGAGUGACAUCCGUAGAGAUCUGCAGGAACAUCAGAGGCGAAGGCGACCACCUGGCCGAUGACUGACGCUGAGGAACGAAAGCGUGAGGAGCAAACAGG
RNAcentral lists this ribosomal RNA (253 nucleotides) under uncultured bacterium. RNAcentral describes it as "partial 16S ribosomal RNA". It matches the Rfam family "Bacterial small subunit ribosomal RNA", at positions 524 to 776 of the family's 1533-position model. The record is from RNAcentral.